RNAcentral lists this transfer RNA (77 nucleotides) under Bifidobacterium animalis. Its description in RNAcentral is "tRNA-Ser". Lineage: Bacteria; Bacillati; Actinomycetota; Actinomycetes; Bifidobacteriales; Bifidobacteriaceae. RNAcentral also lists the same sequence under 1 other name. The record is from RNAcentral.
UGUUGGCAUAGUUCAUCGGUUGCUGCCCAUAUGGUUGCUGGCCAUAUGGCGAGCCGUUCAUAGGCUGCUGCCCAUAA